GGCGGGAGGUGCAGGAGGGACCCUCGCCAUGGGUCCACGGGCCUAGAGUGGCGGAAGAUACCGGCCUGGUGCCAAACUGGCUACUGCUGCUUCCUGUGGCCUCCAUGGCUGAGGACUGGCUGGACUGCCCGGCCCUGGGCCCUGGCUGGAAGCGCCGCGAAGUCUUUCGCAAGUCAGGGGCCACCUGUGGACGCUCAGACACCUAUUACCAGAGGUACUGGCCCCACAGGAGACAGGAUCCGAAGCAAAGUUGAGCUGACUCGAUACCUGGGCCCUGCGUGUGAUCUCACCCUCUUCGACUUCAAACAAGGCAUCUUGUGCUAUCCAGCCCCCAAGGCCCAUCCCGUGGCGGUUGCCAGCAAGAAGCGAAAGAAGCCUUCAAGGCCAGCCAAGACUCGGAAACGUCAGGUUGGACCCCAGAGUGGUGAGGUCAGGAAGGAGGCCCCGAGGGAUGAGACCAAGGCUGACACUGACACAGCCCCAGCUUCAUUCCCUGCUCCUGGGUGAGUGUUGGUCUAAGGUGAGCCAGAUGGGUGAGGGUUGUGAUUGGGGGUGCUCUUGGAGCCCCACACCUGCCUUUCCCAUCCCAGGUGCUGUGAGAACUGUGGAAUCAGCUUCUCAGGGGAUGGCACCCAAAGGCAGCGGCUCAAAACGUUGUGCAAAGACUGUCGAGCA
This 675-nucleotide long non-coding RNA is filed under the name Homo sapiens (human). RNAcentral describes it as "non-protein coding lnc-CXXC1-2:2". The record is from RNAcentral. Lineage: Eukaryota; Metazoa; Chordata; Mammalia; Primates; Hominidae.